GAUAAACGCUGGCGGCGCACAUAAGACAUGCCAGUUGAACGGACUUAAUCGAAAUAUUUGUAUUUUGCAGCGGUUAGUGGCGGACUGGUGAGUAACGCGUAAGGAACCUGCCUAUUAGAGGGGAAUAACAGUGAGAAAUCAUUGCUAAUACCGCAUAUGCCAUAGAUAUCACAUGAUAACAGGUGGCAAGGAGCAAUCCGCUAAUAGAUGGCCUUGCGUCUGAUUAGAUAGUUGGUGGGGUAACGGCCUACCAAGUCGACGAUCAGUAGCCGGACUGGGAGGCUGACCGGCCACAUUGGGACUGAGGGACGGCCCAGACACCUACGGGAGGCGGCAGGAGGGAAGAUUGCGCAAUGGAGGAAACUCUGACGCAGGGACGGCGCGUAAAGGAAGAAGGUUUUCGGAUUGUAAACUAUUGUCGUUAGGGAAGAGAAAGGACAGUACCUAAGGAGGAAGCUCCGGCUAACUACGUG
This 473-nucleotide ribosomal RNA is filed under the name uncultured bacterium. RNAcentral's name for it is "partial 16S ribosomal RNA". It matches the Rfam family "Bacterial small subunit ribosomal RNA", at positions 28 to 507 of the family's 1533-position model. The record is from RNAcentral.